RNAcentral lists this ribosomal RNA (414 nucleotides) under uncultured microorganism. RNAcentral's name for it is "bacterial SSU rRNA". It matches the Rfam family "Archaeal small subunit ribosomal RNA", at positions 459 to 872 of the family's 1478-position model. The record is from RNAcentral.
CAGCAGCCGCGGUAAUACCGGCGGCCCGAGUGGCGGCCACUAUUAUUGGGCUUAAAGCGUCCGUAGCCGGGUUGGUUAGUCUCCCGGGAAAUCUGGCCGCUUAACGGUCAGAAUUCCGGGGGAUACUGCCAGCCUAGGGACCGGGAGAGGCCGAGGGUAUUCCCGGAGUAGGGGUGAAAUCCUAUAAUCCCGGGAGGACCACCUGUGGCGAAGGCGCUCGGCUGGAACGGGUCCGACGGUGAGGGACGAAGGCCAGGGGAGCAAACCGGAUUAGAUACCCGGGUAGUCCUGGCGGUAAACGAUGCGGACUUUGUGUCGGACAAGCUAUGAGCUUGUCCGGUGCCGGAGGGAAACCGUUAAGUCCGCCGCCUGGGGAGUACGGCCGCAAGGCUGAAACUUAAAGGAAUUGGCGGG